GAACUAGAGAGAAAAGUUAAAACUUUAUUAAUGGUGACAAAUCCUUUAUCUCCUCCUCAGGUCUUAGAAAAAAAAUCAGAAAAUUCAUGGAGAACAGAGACCAUCUGAAUAUAAGCAAUAGAUUCUGGGUGCUUUCUGAAGACUCUUCCCCAUAUGCAGAGAUCACACUCUUCAGACAGCCUCGGUCACCUGUGUAUCUGAACUAAGAGCCCUGGAUGAUGAAGAGAGGAAACUGUAGCAAAGGAUCCAGGUAUGUUAGAGGGAUUGAAGAAGACUUGGGGAUGGAGACACUCAAUUGACAGAGGAAAAAGAACAUGGAGUUGGUUUUGCCAGAUUCUAUUUCAUUCCCUAUGUCUCUAGGCAAUUGCCCUGAGACUAAUAUCAGAAUAUUUCCACUGUAGGUGGUAGAGUACUCUCUCUGUAAGAAAUAAUGCAUAGAGGCAAAUGAAAUUUAAUUGGUUUGUAUAUGAGGUAUGCUGUCCCUCUCCUAUUGACAUCACUGAUCAUAUCUUCUUACCAAUGUUAAGUAUUUUCAUUGUCAUAAUUUCAAUAUAAUGUUUAGUCAGAACAAUUGAUGCCUAUUAGUUUUUCCCGAUUUUUGAGUUUUGAAUCAUUUGGCAUUUCCUUUAAGUUGUGUUUUCUUUUAUGGUUAAUUUCCUAAAGUAAUU
Molecule: long non-coding RNA, 668 nt
Filed under: Rattus norvegicus (Norway rat)
Lineage: Eukaryota; Metazoa; Chordata; Mammalia; Rodentia; Muridae
Description: long non-coding RNA NONRATT031509
Source: RNAcentral